CUUAUUUAAUAUCCCUCCUGGUUCCCCCCGGGUUUUAAAUUGCUGUGGUAUUUUGACUAUACAAAGGUAUUGAAAUAAGAUUUUAAUUGAAUGCUAAGAGAAUGGAAGUCCAGAAAAAAACUUUUUUUAAAUUAAAAAUUGAAGUUUUUUUAAUUUGUGCAGAAACAAUUAUUUAUAUUAAAGACAAGAAGACCCUAUGAAUUUAUUAAAUUUUUAUUUAAUAUGUAAUUACUAUUAGAAAAAUUUUGGCUGGGGCGGCUAGAAAAUAUUAUGAACUUUUUAAAAAUAAAAUGAUCCAUUAUUAAUGAUUUUAUGUUAAAUACUCUAGGGAUAACAGCGUUAUAUUUUUUGAUAGAUCAUAUUGACAAAAAAGUUUGCGACCUCGAUGUUGGAUUAGGAUACUUUUUUAAUGAAGAUAUAAAAAAAGAAGUUGUCAACGAUC
This 442-nucleotide ribosomal RNA is filed under the name Rhipicephalus sanguineus (brown dog tick). RNAcentral's name for it is "partial 16S ribosomal RNA". Lineage: Eukaryota; Metazoa; Arthropoda; Arachnida; Ixodida; Ixodidae. The record is from RNAcentral.